UUCCCUCCAUCGCGGACACCGGCUUCGAGGCCUGGGCCUCCUGCAUGUCCUGCGCCCUCCGCGCCUCCCUUGCCUGCUCCUGGGCGGCAGCGCUCUGCUGCGAGGACGCCUGCAGGCUGAGGGGAGGGACGAUGGCACCCAAGAGACAAAGAGGGCAGGAGAAAGGGAGACUUCUGUUCCAAUCAAACAGAGUAGCUUACGUUGCGGCGAUGACGACCUCCUCCGUGGUGACCGGCUGAGUUCUGGAUCGGUCUUGUGUCCGCCUCAGUCUCCUGUCUACCGCGGCAUUCCUGGAUCGAGGCUUGGGAGCUCCGCCAUCGAUGCUCUUCUCCAGUUCCUGGAUGGACACGUCCAGAUAAACGUGGAAAAUCAUUACGAGUCAAUGGAAUAUUUCACCUCCUGUUAAUACAAGUGAGUUAAUCCAGGAGCAGAGUAAACAGAAUUAAGGUGAAAGUGACUGAAUUAGUCACCGGAGUAGAUUCAAAUAUCUCUAUCGACAAAUUUGGAGUGAAAAGUUAUCUGAUAAAAAAGCUCUGUGGUCUGAACCCUGGCAGAGAUGAAACCAAAUCGAGUCCUUAGCUCUAACUUCUCAAGAGGACAAGAAAAAUCAGACAAUGUCCAGAAGAAUCUGAAGACAUGAGAGGACAAACAGCCAACAGUUGAAACUCACCCUGAAGAGAGAGCGCUUGGCCGCUACGCUCAGCUUGGCUCGAUCAUCUAGCUUCUCUUCAUCACCUAAAGAGGGACAGAGAAGAGACACACAUAUAUUUAGACCUUAGAGACUGUGGAUGUCUUUUCCAUAGCAACAAUUUGUCAGAAUCAUCUUAAAUACUUGGGAAAAAUCAAUUGCAUAACAUUUAUUGUGUAAAAAAUACGUCUUCACGAAUCUACAUUCAAGUCCAGUUACUCCUGAUUCAAGGGCUCAGACUCUCCACAGACAUUCCCCUUUGGCCCAAGAGCAAAUGCGAUCUCCUCCAAGAUUCAACAGAAUGGAACUUGGAAAUGUCUGAGAAAGGUUUCAUCCAUUGUGCUGAAAGACGACUAUCCUGAAAGAGUAAAGUAAUCACAAUACUCUGUUUACCAUCAUUAUUCCCACCACCAGCUCCAUCUGGUUUAAUCACAUGGAGCAAAGAUAGACCGCUAAACCUGUGGAGGCAGACAGGUGUGCGGAGACAUAGCUGACACACACACACACACACACACACACACACACACACACACACACACACACACACACACACACACACACACACACACACACACACACACACACACACACACACACACACACACACACACACACACACACACACACACACACACACACACACACCCUGCAAGUCACGUUACAUGACAUCACCAAACAACUAUUCCCUUUUGACUGACGCUGCUGUGCCGAGCUCUGCUCCCUCUUAAUUCACGUCCCGGCUGCCUGUGAGUUUAUAAGAAGCAGAUGAGAGGGUUCUGCCCUCAGUGCAGCUACUGUGAGAACAAAUAAUGACUCUAUAAACUAUAAAAUACUGCAAAAAAGUGCUUUCCUGUAAAAAACAUGAGACCGUAGUAGGGAGAUUUGAGUUAUUUGGCCUCCACCUCCUCAUUUCUACUCUUGAAGUUUUUAUAUCAAGUCACAUUUCAAUCGUUUGUUGCAGUCUUAAAUUGUGAAAGCUGCAGAUAAUCGUGUCAGUUGUGUGGUUUUCACUGGCAAAUGUAUACAACUUGGAUUAUUUAUCCGUUACCAUUAAGAAAGGAGAAGCGAAUGGCUGAAAACAGUGUCUCUCUUACACUGACGCACAGCACAUCACCAUGAUUUCAUCAACAAGACAAAACUCUGAUGAUAUGCUGGGCUGGUAUCUGUGAAUUACAGGUGACACUCUUUUUCCUUUAAAGAAGCCAAAUAUGGCAUUAAUGUUUGCCGUCAGUAGAUAAAAACUUGAGUCAAAAUGACGCCUUUUGUAAUGCCCAUAUGAUUCACUAGCCCCUAAGAAAGCUCUACUUAACUGUUGUAAAUAUUCCAUUGAACAUUAUGUAACUUAAGACGCAGUAAAGCAAUCUCAUUAGUCAAACACAUAUUGAUAAUUCCACUAAAGCAAGCCACGCUUAAUCAAUUACCUCGCUAACACUUUGAGUGCAGAGGCCACCGUAGAUCCGGAAGCUUUACUUUUAUUUAAUGCAGAGUACAGUACUGUACAUGUGUUUGUAGAACUGGAUGAAGUAAAUCCUAAAUGUCUAUUUCCACAAAUAUGCUGGAUUUCUUUUCAAAUUUUUUUUUUUUACUAUACUACACAAUGGAAUACACCAAUCAGCCACAAUAUGAAAACCAGUAACUGAUUAGUCAUGGACAUAAAUUCAAGAGUACAGACAAAGUUAAUGUAUAAAUAAAUUAAUUAAUCAGUAAAUAAAUUACUGAUGGUUCAAAACACUCUUUCAAAAAAGGCCACAGAUUUACACUGUUCAGGCACAACAUUAAAACAAGUUACUGGAUUUAAUGUUGUGGCAGAUCGAUGUGUAUUACUCUGAUAAUCAAAAUCUUUGCCGUGAUAAGUUGUGGAGAGAAAACAACUACUUACCUUCAGUAGAAGCAAAAUCUGAACUCACACAGGACCUUUAAAAAGUACAAAAAAAAAUAAAAAAUUUAAUCAGCAAA
Scophthalmus maximus (turbot) is the source of this 2644-nucleotide long non-coding RNA. RefSeq lists it as uncharacterized. The transcript is spliced from 2 exons. The record is from RefSeq and is a predicted model, not a curated record. NCBI's taxonomy places the organism in Eukaryota, Metazoa, Chordata, Actinopteri, Pleuronectiformes, Scophthalmidae.